RNAcentral lists this long non-coding RNA (1174 nucleotides) under Nicotiana tabacum (common tobacco). RNAcentral describes it as "long non-coding RNA (NTAB_LNC014074)". Lineage: Eukaryota; Viridiplantae; Streptophyta; Magnoliopsida; Solanales; Solanaceae. The record is from RNAcentral.
AGCUUGUUUGACUAGUAAACAACACCUGGCAUUCAGCAACCUCGGACUUUGUUCUCUCAUUUGUUCUAACAAUAUACUCUCUACUUUGAUUGACCAAAUUUUACUUCUCUUUAAUUACAUGUGAUACUUUGUCUGGUACUUAACAAGAGUUGAUGUAAAAAGCCAUUCAGCUCAUAAAUUAGUCCUAACAACUGAUACCACACUAUUUCUUUUCACUUUCUUCCAACAGAACCUCUCCCAGCUUGCAUCAAUCAAUUAUGAUUUGCUUACAAAGGGUUGGAAAGACGAUCAUCCGUCAAAUCAUAAUGCAUAGCCACUGGGAACAGUGGCUGUGGAGUAUUCAAACCUCGGUCUCUUGGGCUGAUAGAAUCAAACAGAACGUGGGCCAAUCAUCUCCCUGUCUUUACACCUUGUAAAUGUAUGUAUAUGACUAAGUUUAAUGAAAUAAUUCUAAAGAUACUACUUUUCUCUUCAUUGUUACAGUUUUACAUUUUUGUUCCAUUGCAGAUAUAGAAGCAGCUUAAAGAUCACGAUGGGGACGACUGGGGAUGUGUUUUUGUCAUACAGAGAAAUCUCAUGCUGUGAGGUUGUGCUUUGAAUCGUUUUAUUUGUAGUUUGGCAACUUUGUGUUCUCAUGCAUGGCCAUGAGAUGCCUUGUGGUUUUUGACUUCAGGCUUUUGAGUGUUUUGUAAAUGUCCCUCCACAGCAAUGAGAACACAUCUCCUGUUUCGAAAGGGAUUGGACUUGUUGCCUCAAAUUUUGCUUUUUGCAGCCUCUUCCAUUCCUUUGAUUCUUCUCUCUUGUGCAAGUAUCUGCUAAAUCUGCUGUGCUCUCUUGGUGUUGGCUAAUUUCUGAGAAGAGAUUAGUCAAAGGUCUAAUAGAACGACUAUUUUGCCUUUGACAGUGUAAAAUAAAAAGAUUUGAAAAGAAAAAAAGGUGUCCUAACACAGCUAAAAUCAUUUAACAAGGAUCAUAAAUGAUAUUGCUACAAAGAGUUGGUACCAUAAUGUGGUUUUGUUGAGGAUGCCAUAUUUCUUUUUUGGAUGAUAUAAAUUUUAUCAAAUUGUACUACAAAGUGUAGGUUACUAUUCUAAUAAUUGGUUUGUCCCAUUUUGUGUAAGAUGCAACACCGUUUCCUUUUAUGACAUUAAAUAACUAUAUGAUUUCACCAUUA